Molecule: small nucleolar RNA, 220 nt
Organism: Syngnathoides biaculeatus (alligator pipefish)
Lineage: Eukaryota; Metazoa; Chordata; Actinopteri; Syngnathiformes; Syngnathidae
Product: small nucleolar RNA SNORA73 family
Exons: 1
Source: RefSeq, a predicted model, not a curated record
CCGAUGUCGACACCCAGAGAGUUUGUCUCCUGGCUCUGUCCUUGUGGCGUAUGGGAGCGUAGCCUCGCGCUAAGACGCACAUUCCCGUUCCACGACGUCGGAGAAAAAGUUCCGUCCCCGACUUUGCGGUCGGCGAGGACGGACGUCCUGUAUAUUCCUAGACCUUCCCAGAGUCCUUUGGGGGCCAUUACUGGGGAGGAAAACCAUGCAGGGCACAUUU